CCCUUAGAUGUCCGGGGCCGCACGCGCGCUACACUGAAGGAAUCAGCGUGGCUUUCUCCCUGACCCGAAAGGGUUGGGAAACCCGUUGAAUCUCCUUCGUGAUAGGGAUUGGGGCUUGAAAUUGUUCCCCAUGAACGAGGAAUUCCCAGUAAGCGCGAGUCAUAAGCUCGCGUUGAUUACGUCCCUGCCCUUUGUACACACCGCCCGUCGCUACUACCGAUUGAACGGUUUAGUGAGGGCCUCGGAUUGGUCUCGGCCUGCUCUUUACCGGGCGGCGCCGUUGGUCGAGAAGACGCUCGAACUUGAUCGUUUAGAGGAAGUAAAAGUCGUAACA
RNAcentral lists this ribosomal RNA (334 nucleotides) under uncultured eukaryote. RNAcentral describes it as "partial 18S ribosomal RNA". It matches the Rfam family "Eukaryotic small subunit ribosomal RNA", at positions 1470 to 1796 of the family's 1831-position model. The record is from RNAcentral.